GUCCGUCGCUAAUCAUUUUGCCUCAGGCAUUAUGAGGUGUAGCGAAUAAGCCGUAAUCUUUGAUCUUUUAUUUCAAACAAGUCCCCUUGACAGGGGUUCCACAGAAGGUGCAAGUCCUGUACAUUGAGAUAAAUGAUCGAUAUUUGCGUGCUUUAGAGUCGGGUUGUUUGGGAUCGCAGCCCAAAGUCGGUGGUAAACUUCAUCUAAGACUCAAUAUUGCCACGAGACCGAUAGCAAACAAGUACUGUGAAGGAAAGUUGCAAAGCACUUUGAAGAGAGAGUUAAAGAGGACGUGAAACCGAUGAGGUGGAAACGGAUAGAGUCGGCGUAUCUUUCAAGUAUUCACUUACAUUAUUUUUAUGUUGUGAUCUCUGAGCUCCAGAUUGGGACAGAGGGAAGCAGCAUAAUUUUCUGUGAUGCAUUUACUUGUUUGGUGCUUGGGGAUGUUUGAGUCAGAUUUGUAACCGCUGUUUUGAGGCCAGCUUGCUGGUACCCAAACGGUGUUAGCAUUUUUUGUCUUGGACAUUUGAGUAUGGCUUCGGGCAUUUAUUGGUUCGAGCUGAGUGUAAGUUACGGUCGCAUGCGACACGUGCUUUUCAAUUAGUUCGGUCCAGUUACUGCUCUCGUACUCCUUCCCCAUGUAAAAGCCGGUCAUCUAUCCGACCCGUCUUGAAACACGGACCAAGGAGUUUAUCGUGUGCGCAAGUUUUUGGGUGUUAUAAACCUAAAAGCGAAAUGAAAGUAAAUGUCUCUUUAGAGUCUGAUGUGCGAUCUUGUAAAAAAGUGCAGCAUGGCCCCAUUCUAACUGUUUACAGUAGGGUGGCGGAAGAGCGUACGCGGUGAGACCCGAAAGAUGGUGAACUAUUCCUGAGCAGGACGAAGCCAGAGGAAACUCUGGUGGAAGUCCGAAGCGGUUCUGACGUGCAAAUCGAUCG
This 935-nucleotide ribosomal RNA is filed under the name Meloidogyne haplanaria. RNAcentral's name for it is "partial large subunit ribosomal RNA". It matches the Rfam family "Eukaryotic large subunit ribosomal RNA", at positions 107 to 904 of the family's 3401-position model. Lineage: Eukaryota; Metazoa; Nematoda; Chromadorea; Rhabditida; Meloidogynidae. The record is from RNAcentral.